UUUUGUGGAAUACCUUCCACAUAGUAAGUAUUUACUGCAUAUUAGUUGAAAGAAAUUUAGCUGUUUUAAAGAAAUGAAAACGUUACUACUCAAGUUAUUAAAUCUAUUCAGCAGUGGACUUCCCAAUUUCAAUGAUGCAAACGUGCCUCCAUAAAUACAAUAAAUUAAGUGUCUUUCAUCUGAUGGACCUCCUUUUAGAACGCUGCAGUUAUGUUUCCUUACUUUUAGUGCUCAUAGCUGAGUGACAUAAUCUCAUCAAAAGAUCAAGCAAGUGAUAUGGCAGUCCCAACUUCUGCCACACUGAUUUGGAUUUCAUACCUUGUACAUAUUACCUUGACUGGAAAGGGAAUGAGGAGGUGAAGGAGCUAUUUUUAAAUUUUUCAAUGCAGAUUUACUCUUUCAUUUCUCCUAGGGAAUCUCCAAGAUUUUCCACUUUUCAGAGAUUGUUGAGGGCUGACAAACUCAGUGUUACAAUGUGCAUUUCACACGUCAACCCGAGGCUACUGCCUGAAGGUCUCUGACAGAAAUCAGUGUGCUCAAAAUGCCGCCAGGGCCCAAGCAGGAAAGGUACAUACCUCUAUGGAGCACCCAGAGCUGCCAGGAAGAAACGAGUUUGAGAGAAAAAUGCUAGCCACAAAGGUAUUUAGCUUCUAUUUAAAAGAUCCAUAUGAGUAAGACACAUUAAAAGGUCAUAAAAUAUAUACAAAGUUUUCAGUGUCCAAGUUUUUGAAAUGUCAUAUUUUUUGUGGCUUUUGACAAAGUCUAAUAUUAUUCUCUAAGAUAGUUUGAUGUUUCCAGAAAUGUCAUAACAGCAUAUUAUUUUUUCAAAUGACAGUCAUUUUGCAGAGGGCAAAUAGCUGGCUAUGUGAAAUUCCAAAGAAACAACUACACGUCUGUCCACAUGAAAAACAAGUUGCUGGAAUGUAUAAGUAUUUUGAUGGAUUUUAGAUUUAUCUCUCAUAUGCUAUCAAUUUUGAGAGUUUAAGGCCAAACUCUUUAUUGACACCAAUUGUUAUAAUAAUGGUAGAGUUGCAUGUAUGUGUGAGAAAGAUACACAAUAAUUAAAAUAAUUCUAUGACUCUAUACCUUGUCAUUCUUUUUAAAUUUUAGACAUGGUGUCCCUUUAUCGCUGAAGUUAGUGUACAGGGAUUAUAGCUCAUUGCCGCCUUUAGCGUCUGGGCUCAAGUGAUUAUCUUGCCUCAGUCUCCCAAGUUGCUGAGUACCUGAGACUAAAGUUUCAGUCUGAUUGGCUCCAAGCCCUAAAACCAACCUCAGGAAAAUCAGUCAUUAAGCUGAUGAAUAGAUCUUGGAAACAUGCACAUAAGAAAAGAUCUCUUUGGAAACCUUCAUGACUGGAUUAACUGGCAACCCACUCUUUACAGACUGAAAGGCCGAUAGAGUGAAUCACUAAAAGACCACUCACUCUUUCAGAGUCAUGUAAUGAAGUCAAGUUUCUCCAAAGUCAAGUUUUUCUUUGCAACCUCAAAAACAUGCCUCCAUCAGGAACACCACCUCUGCAGCAACUCUGAAUUCCUGAACUGUUCCACCUAGAAUAAAAUCAAAUGUUGCAUUCUCUAACCAUUACCUAAGGGAUUUAUGGGUCACUCAAUAGGACAUGUAAGAUCCAUUCUAGCUUUUCAAGCACCUUUUCAAGAAAUACUUUGAGGAAUUAAGGUCUUGUGAGAUGUUAUUAAAGCAAGUAAUACAGUCUGGCAUCCUUCUAGGUUUAUACUCACCUGUCCAUCAUAUGGAAGCUGGAGAGUUACUUCUUUUGAUAAUUCAAGAAUCUUGGGAUACUUCAGAGAGCAAUUCUCAAACAACUUCUUCAAACUGACAGCCUUCAAGGAAUUGUGCAGGAUAGAUGGGUGGCCAAAUGACAAGCUUGGAAAGCUACAGGGGAACGCUACCUGCUCCUCUCCAUCCAUUCCUGGCUCUCUACUCUUAACUCCAUAUCUUCCACCAAGGUUCACUUCACCACUGUGUCAUUAAAAUGUUCAGUACCAAGAAGCAGACUGUUCGCAAUGAUAGGUAUAAACUGUUCAAGAAGACACCCAAUACUAGCAAAUUUUUCUGACUCCUUUUAAAAUAAAAACUGGCCUUCUUACAGUAAUUUCAAACUUAUAAAAGGCACGGAUUAAUCCAAAAUGCCUAUAUAUAUUCAGGAUAGCUUUCCUAAGCUGAUUGGCCUUUGACUGUGAAAUUUUACUUAAAAAAAUCAAGUUAAUAAAUCAUAUGUAUAUGAACAAAGACAUUCACUGUCAACUGACCUGUGAAAACAUAAAUUAUAUUACCAGUUUGGGGAUUAUUAUUAUAAAAUAAAUCUUUAAUUUAUGUAGAGAAGAGUUACUAAUGAGUCAAAGCAAACUCUCUCCUUUAAUGAACAAUUCCUGAAAUGUUUCAUAAUGCAGGAAAAAUUCUACUCUGUCUACAACCCUUUUCCCUAUAGCCCUGUGGUUCUGUAUGAUAAUGAGGGAAAUUUAUUAUUGCUAUUUCUGAAAAUCCUAACUGCAAUAAAAUAUAAAAAAUCUUUAACAAUCA
This is a non-coding RNA of Macaca mulatta (Rhesus monkey), 2538 nucleotides long. The record is from RefSeq and is a predicted model, not a curated record. Lineage: Eukaryota; Metazoa; Chordata; Mammalia; Primates; Cercopithecidae.